ACCAGAGUGCUUUUGUAUCAAUGAUCUGGCUUGGGUCUCAAGGUUGGAAGAAGAGGGAGAAGAAAAGAGGCUGGAGUGUGGUCCACAUACGCAGUGUCCACAGUUAGAGAUAUAUGAACAAGCCGAAGACCAGUAACCUCAUUUAACCUAGGGAAUCUUCUUAACUAAAUACAGUAUUGUCCUUCCAGGAGUAUCCUCUGCCCCCUGGAAGGUAGCUGUCGUUUGUGGCUACUAGAUGAAAGCAGAAAAGACAGAGAAGCAUCUUACAGAAUUAACUUUGAUGCCCUAAACAUAUUUUUUUGGCACCUAAAUAUAUAACCCCUGGCAAGAAAAAAAACCCAAACAAACCAAAAACCAAAAAACAAAGCAGAGCAUUUAAGCAAGGCUUUUUUAAGAUAGGUAAAUCAUUUUCUUUUUAAAUGAAAUUCAGUUUGACUGCAUGAAAUAUGAACAGUAAUUAAAUGCACAGUCUGGGCCUUCCAUACUUUAAAGCACUUUCUUAAAAAAAAAAAAAAAAAGAGUACUCACCUCAGACAGGCCAAUUACCCAAGAAUGAUGAAGUCAAGAG
This is a long non-coding RNA of Canis lupus familiaris (dog), 568 nucleotides long. RefSeq lists it as uncharacterized. The record is from RefSeq and is a predicted model, not a curated record. The transcript is spliced from 2 exons. Lineage: Eukaryota; Metazoa; Chordata; Mammalia; Carnivora; Canidae.